Molecule: ribosomal RNA, 746 nt
Filed under: uncultured archaeon
Lineage: Archaea
Description: bacterial SSU rRNA
Rfam family: Archaeal small subunit ribosomal RNA
Source: RNAcentral
UUGGGUCUGGCAUAACCCCGGGAAACUGGGGAUAAUACCGGAUAACGCAUAUCUGCUGGAAUUCUUUAUGCGUGAAAUGGAUUCGUCUGCCCAAGGAUGGGUCUGCGGCCUAUCAGGUAGUAGUGGGUGUAAUGUACCUACUAGCCGACGACGGGUACGGGUUGUGAGAGCAAGAGCCCGGAGAUGGAUUCUGAGACAUGAAUCCAGGCCCUACGGGGCGCAGCAGGCGCGAAAACUUUACAAUGCGGGAAACCGUGAUAAGGGGACACCGAGUGCCAGCAUUAUAUGUUGGCUGUCCGGGUGUGUAAAAUACACCUGUUAGCAAGGGCCGGGCAAGACCGGUGCCAGCCGCCGCGGUAACACCGGCGGCCCGAGUGGUGAUCGUGUUUAUUGGGUCUAAAGGGUCCGUAGCCGGUUUGGUCAGUCCUCCGGGAAAUCUGACGGCUUAACCGUUAGGCUUUCGGGGGAUACUGCCAGACUUGGAACCGGGAGAGGUAAGAGGUACUACAGGGGUAGGAGUGAAAUCUUGUAAUCCCUGUGGGACCACCUGUGGCGAAGGCGUCUUACCAGAACGGGUUCGACGGUGAGGGACGAAAGCUGGGGGCACGAACCGGAUUAGAUACCCGGGUAGUCCCAGCCGUAAACGAUGCUCGCUAGGUGUCAGGCAUGGCGCGACCGUGUCUGGUGCCGCAGGGAAGCCGUGAAGCGAGCCACCUGGGAAGUACGGCCGCAAGGCUGAAACUUAA